ACCGCAUACGUCCUACGGGAGAAAGCAGGGGACCUUCGGGCCUUGCGCUAUCAGAUGAGCCUAGGUCGGAUUAGCUAGUUGGUGAGGUAAUGGCUCACCAAGGCGACGAUCCGUAACUGGUCUGAGAGGAUGAUCAGUCACACUGGAACUGAGACACGGUCCAGACUCCUACGGGAGGCAGCAGUGGGGAAUAUUGGACAAUGGGCGAAAGCCUGAUCCAGCCAUGCCGCGUGUGUGAAGAAGGUCUUCGGAUUGUAAAGCACUUUAAGUUGGGAGGAAGGGCAUUAACCUAAUACGUUAGUGUUUUGACGUUACCGACAGAAUAAGCACCGGCUAACUCUGUGCCAGCAGCCGCGGUAAUACAGAGGGUGCAAGCGUUAAUCGGAAUUACUGGGCGUAAAGCGCGCGUAGGUGGUUUGUUAAGUUGGAUGUGAAAGCCCCGGGCUCAACCUGGGAACUGCAUCCAAAACUGGCAAGCUAGAGUACGGUAGAGGGUGGUGGAAUUUCCUGUGUAGCGGUGAAAUGCGUAGAUAUAGGAAGGAACACCAGUGGCGAAGGCGACCACCUGGACUGAUACUGACACUGAGGUGCGAAAGCGUGGGGAGCAAACAGGAUUAGAUACCCUGGUAGUCCACGCCGUAAACGAUGUCAACUAGCCGUUGGAAUCCUUGAGAUUUUAGUGGCGCAGCUAACGCAUUAAGUUGACCGCCUGGGGAGUAC
RNAcentral lists this ribosomal RNA (720 nucleotides) under Pseudomonas putida. RNAcentral describes it as "bacterial SSU rRNA". It matches the Rfam family "Bacterial small subunit ribosomal RNA", at positions 168 to 883 of the family's 1533-position model. Lineage: Bacteria; Pseudomonadati; Pseudomonadota; Gammaproteobacteria; Pseudomonadales; Pseudomonadaceae. The record is from RNAcentral.